UACGUAGGGUGCGAGCGUUAAUCGGAAUUACUGGGCGUAAAGCGUGCGCAGGCGGUUCGUUGUGUCGGCGGUGAAAGCCCCGGGCUUAACCCUGGGAAUGGCCGUCGGAAACUGGCGAACUGGAGUGUGGCAGAGGGGGGUGGAAUUCCGCGUGGUAGCGGUGAAAUGCGUAGAUAUCAGGAGGAACACCGAUGGCGAAGGCAGGUCUCUGGGACUGACACU
Molecule: ribosomal RNA, 222 nt
Filed under: uncultured bacterium
Lineage: Bacteria
Description: partial 16S ribosomal RNA
Rfam family: Bacterial small subunit ribosomal RNA
Source: RNAcentral